RNAcentral lists this ribosomal RNA (457 nucleotides) under uncultured bacterium. RNAcentral describes it as "partial 16S ribosomal RNA". It matches the Rfam family "Bacterial small subunit ribosomal RNA", at positions 338 to 795 of the family's 1533-position model. The record is from RNAcentral.
CCUACGGGAGGCAGCAGUGAGGAAUAUUGGUCAAUGGCCGGAAGGCUGAACCAGCCAAGCCGCGUGAAGGACGAAGGUGCCAAGCAUUGUAAACUUCUUUUGUCAAGGGACAAAAUCAGGCUCGAGAGCCUGACCGAGGGUACUUGAAGAACAAGCAUCGGCUAACUCCGUGCCAGCAGCCGCGGUAAUACGGAGGAUGCGAGCGUUAUCCGGAUUGAGUGGGUUGAAAGGGUGCGGAGGCGGGCUGUUAAGUCAGCGGUAAAAGCCCGGGGCUCAACCCCGGCGAGCCGUUGAAACUGGCAGUUUAGAGAUGUCGAGAGGUAUGCGGAAUGCGCAGUGGAGCGGUGAAAUGCUGAGAUAUGGAGCAGAACUCCGAUUGCGAAGGCAGCAUACCGGCGGCGAUCUGACGCUGAGGCACGAAAGCGUGGGGAGCGAACAGGAAUAGAUACUUGUAGUC